CACGGGGUUGCGAGCGUUGUCCGGAAUUACUAGGCGUAAAGGGCAGGCAGGCGGAUCCAUAAGUUUAUCGUUUAAGGCGUCGGCUUAACCGGCGUAGGGCGGUAGAUACUGUGGAUCUGGAAUGCGGUUGGGGAAGACAGAAUUCCUGGUGUAGCGGUGGAAUACGCAGAGAUCAGGAGGAAUACCGAAGGCGAAGGCAGUCUUCCAAGCCGUUAUUGACGCUCAACUGCGAAGGUGUGGGUAUCAAACAGGAUUAGAUACCCUGGUAGUCCCUGAG
This 277-nucleotide ribosomal RNA is filed under the name uncultured prokaryote. RNAcentral describes it as "partial 16S ribosomal RNA". It matches the Rfam family "Bacterial small subunit ribosomal RNA", at positions 524 to 801 of the family's 1533-position model. The record is from RNAcentral.